CCCGCUGAACUUAAGCAUAUCAGUAAGCGGAGGAAAAGAAACUAACAAGGAUUCCCUCAGUAACGGCGAGUGAACAGGGAUUAGUCCAGCGCUGAAUCUCGACGUUUAGGCGUCGCGACUUGUAGCGUAUAGGCGGUACGCUUAGCCGUGGCUAAAGGCACAAGUUUCCCAUGACCGGGGCGCCAUAGAAGGUGAUAGACCUGUAGCGCUUGAGGCCUAGGCUAAUUGUGUUGCCUUGGAGUCGGGUUGUUUGGGAUCGCAGCCCAAAGAAGGUGGUAAACUUCAUCUAAGACUAAAUACUCCUACGAGACCGAUAGCGAACAAGUACCGUGAGGGAAAGUUGCAAAGCACUUUGAAGAGAGAGUUAAAGAGGACGUGAAACCGGUAAGAUGGAAACGGAUAGAGCCAGCGAAGUCGCUCGUAUUCAGCCAAAGACUCGGGUCUGCCUGCCGUCGUGUUUCUAAUCGAGCGCGGCGGUUUGCACGGCCUGUUUCGAGGUGCAUUUGCGGGUGUUUGCGCUGAGACUUGCGGAGCAGCUUCUGGAACUACGCUUAGAGGCUUCCCUUUGGGUUGUACCUGGGCGUGGCUACAGAUGUUUGCUCUGCUCGUACUUGGGCUUGGCCUACGGACUUGGGUCGCGCCGUUGUUGCCUGGCAAUGGUAUCGCAUGCGAUAUCUAGUCUGGUGGCUGCGGUUCGGCUUACAGUCCUCUAGCCCCCUCUCGGUGUAGAAGCUGGUCAUCUCUCCGACCCGUCUUGAAACACGG
Molecule: ribosomal RNA, 765 nt
Filed under: uncultured fungus
Lineage: Eukaryota; Fungi
Description: eukaryotic LSU rRNA
Rfam family: Eukaryotic large subunit ribosomal RNA
Source: RNAcentral